CCUACGGGCGGCAGCAGUAGGGAAUCUUCCGCAAUGGGCGAGAGCCUGACGGAGCAACGCCGCGUGAGUGAUGAAGGUCUUCGGAUCGUAAAACUCUGUUGUUAGGGAAGAACAAAUUUGUUAGUAACUGAACAAGUCUUGACGGUACCUAACCAGAAAGCCACGGCUAACUACGUGCCAGCAGCCGCGGUAAUACGUAGGUGGCAAGCGUUAUCCGGAAUUAUUGGGCGUAAAGCGCGCGUAGGCGGUUUCUUAAGUCUGAUGUGAAAGCCCACGGCUC
This 280-nucleotide ribosomal RNA is filed under the name uncultured bacterium. RNAcentral's name for it is "partial 16S ribosomal RNA". It matches the Rfam family "Bacterial small subunit ribosomal RNA", at positions 338 to 610 of the family's 1533-position model. The record is from RNAcentral.